UCGCGGCCUAUCAGCUUGUCAGUGAGGUAAUGGCUCACCAAGGCUUGGACGGGUAGCCGGCCUGAGAGGGCGACCGGCCACACUGGGUCUGAGAUACGGCCCCGACUCCUACUGGAGGCCGCAGUGGGGAAUAUUGCACAAUGGGCGCAAGCCUGAUGCAGCAACCCCGCGUGCGGGAUGACCCCCUUCGGGUUGUAAACCGUUUUCAGUAGGGACGAAGCUAACGUGACGGUACCUACAGAAGAAGGACCGGCUAAAUACGUGCCAGCAGCCGCGGUGAUACGUAGGGUCCGAGCGUUGUCCGGAAUUAUUGGGCGUAAAGGGCUUGUAGGCGGUCCGUCGCGUCACGAGUGAAAACUCGGGGGUUAACCCCCAGCAUGCUUUUGAUACGGGCGGACUAGAGGGACCCAGGGGAGAACGGAAUUUUUGGUGGAGCGGUGGAAUGUGCAGAUAUCUGGAGGAACACCGGUGGCGAAGGCGGUUCUCUGGGCAUCACCUGACGCUGAGAAGCGAAAGCGUCGGGAGCAAACAGGGUUAGAUACCCUGGUAGUCCACGCCGUAAACGGUGGGCACUAGGUGUGGGGGACAUUCCACGUUCUCCGUGCCGAAGCUAACGCAUUAAGUGCCCCGCCUGGGGAGUACGG
RNAcentral lists this ribosomal RNA (644 nucleotides) under uncultured bacterium. RNAcentral describes it as "bacterial SSU rRNA". It matches the Rfam family "Bacterial small subunit ribosomal RNA", at positions 231 to 885 of the family's 1533-position model. The record is from RNAcentral.